Molecule: RNA transcript, 1461 nt
Organism: Phascolarctos cinereus (koala)
Lineage: Eukaryota; Metazoa; Chordata; Mammalia; Diprotodontia; Phascolarctidae
Gene: RPS19BP1
Gene name: ribosomal protein S19 binding protein 1
Source: RefSeq, a predicted model, not a curated record
CCGGACGCUUUAGGGAUGGGCUCCUGCCGGAAGUGCCUGGGCGGGCCACGUGGGUGGAGGCGGCAUGUCGGCGUCGCUCCUGCGCAAGGGCCUGGAGCUCCUUGGGGAGCCUGCGGCCUCCGGGCCCGGCCGAGGCCCCCAGAACCGGACCCCCCGGAAGCGGCAGUCCAGGAAGAACCAAGCCACGGUCAAGGGGAAGGUCACCAAGUCGGUGCUGGAGGAGUUCAAGAAGCGGCAGGCUCAGGACCACCUGCAGGAGAACCUGAGAUUCAUGAAGCAGAAACGAGUGACCGCCGACCCGAAGGUCACCACGAAGGUCCUUCUCCAGAACCAAGGCAGGAAAGCCAGGGACCGACCGGCCACCAAGCCAGAGAAGGAGAAGCCCCAGGGCACAGUGUUCACCGAGGAAGACUUCCGCAAGUUCCAGGAGGAAUAUUUUGGGAGUCCUGGAACCAAGUGAUGGAGAGGAAGGAGCGCCGGUCGGGACUGAACGUGGCCUGGGCUCCUGGGCAGUGUGGGACCACGCUCCCUUUUCAGAACAGGACAGUCCCUGGGCCUGAGUGACUGAGAGAGCCUGGCGGACGUUCAGAGACAGAAGGAGGGCGUGGGUUUCACCUCUCCCGCUCCCAGCUUUGGGAGCUGGCUUCACCUUCAUCCUGUACCCCUGCAAACCUCAGGACUGCCAGGUCCGGAGCCUCGCUGGAGGUGAUCUUUGGGCAUAGACAAGGAAGGAGGCCACGUACCGUGGGGUGAGUCCUCUACCAGUGGUGGUAACCACCCACCGUUAGUGCCAUGGGGCCCUCACAUGGAAGGGGUGCCCAAAUCUCCAGCCUCCAUCUAAGGACAAGAGGGAAUCCAAAGGCCCCGCCCCAAUUCCACUUCGGAUUGCUCUAAUUAUCAGGAAAUGCGUCCUGCCUUACGCGUCUCCCCCAGUAAGAGAGCUGGGACUACCUCAGUUUUCCAUUUGUGUGACGGCACUGAGCUUAGAGCUCGGCACACAGCAAGCACUUAAUAAACACUUUCAUUCUUCCCAUUCCUGACGUGAAGCUGAAGUAGGCAUCUCUGCAGUUUCCUCCCACCGCCCCUAAUUCGGUCUUUCAAGCCCUUCCCCAUGACAGUUACUGAGGGGAACUAAAUUUCUCCUCGUGAGUGCUGAGGCCUUCUCUCCAGUGUCGGGCCCCUGCUGGUUGCUCUUAUUCGGAUGUCCCUGCUUACCCAAACGCCCUCUCUUCUAGCAGAAGUGGGAGAGGUGGGUUUGGAACGUCAGAAGUGGUUUGUAUCCGUUUGGAUAAACGUUUCAUUUUCUCUUUUAUUGUUUUUUGUUACUAGAGAUGGCUCAUUGGGCUGGGGAUGGCCUACACCUUCACUUGGAAAUGAAAGUAAUGUUAAAAGAUCAGCACAAAUGUAAAGCUAUUUCAAAAUAAAUAAAUGUGCCCAGGGCUGAGUCCCAGCUAACCAUGA